Molecule: long non-coding RNA, 314 nt
Filed under: Elaeis guineensis (African oil palm)
Lineage: Eukaryota; Viridiplantae; Streptophyta; Magnoliopsida; Arecales; Arecaceae
Description: long non-coding RNA (EGUI_LNC055778)
Source: RNAcentral
AAUGGAUAGGACUAUUCUUAAUUAAAAAGUCUUUCCAUAUGAAACUGUAGAAAUUGAAAAUUCAAGCAAUGAUGCUAUAUUUAAAGUUAAUGGUCAAAGAUUAAAAUAAUUUUUGUAACUGUCCAAAGAAUCUAUUGACGAAGCCAUGGUUCUUUAUGAACCAACUUAUCUCGAUUAAUUUACUUUCAAUAUUUUAUCUGACUGAAGAUAUUAGACUUAGCACUUCUGUCAGACAAUCCAAUUUUUUUAAACUAAUAUUUUUUCUAUUGAAUAAAUAGAGAUACUCAUCUUCAGAUUUCAGAUUUUCAAGCCAA